AGCAGAGUUAGUCUAUCCCUUUACAGAGCUGCUCCAUCCUGGUCUUUCUAAGCUCUUCCUGUACUUCCUGCUGCUCGUCACCUGGAUCAGGUGUGCUCAGUCAAACACCUGAUCUAAUUAGCAACUGGAGAGGAAGGAUCUGCAUGACAGCAUGCAGGAUUGAGCAGCCUAAAAAAACACACAUAGGAAAGUUAAGUUUGUACUUUAAUUAGCAACAACUGAUCAGUGUAAAAUGAGGAGAAACAUUUAUUCAAAGCAAAUAAAAUGAAAAAGUUCAUGGAAUAUGACUAAAGAAGCCAUCCAUCUUUCAGAGUGGGAAUCGUGGAUCGUCAGCGGGAUCCAUGGAAACGGGAGACGGCAAAGAGGACCGCCGGGAAGGAACGAGCGGAGAACCGCCCCGGAGCUUUUCACAGAGUGACCCCCCAGGAUCUCGUCCAGGUUUAUGUCCUUCAUCCAGUCGUCGUUUCCUGAUCCAGACUUCAGCAGCGCGUCGAUGAAGUCGGAGUCGGCGUUGAUGCCGGGAACCGUGUUGUCUCCCUCGGGGAGAAAGUCAAACGUCACCCGGUUGUGUCGGCUGCUCUGGUAGCCGUUGGCGCCCGGGCUGGGCUCCGUGAAGUUACCCGCCGGCACCCUCUGCUCAGGCGACACCUGGCUGAGGUUUCCCACGGGGGACGGCGAGCUCAUCAGGGCCGGGUUGGGUCUGGCGGCCGUCUCCCUCACCGAGGGGGUCAGAGGGAGCAUGCCCAGGUCCGGCGCCACCUGGUUGGGGGGGCCGACGUGCCUCUGCCCGUACAUGUCCGGCACGCCCUGCGGCGCGGGGAGACACCUGAGACCAAGUCCAGCCGUCACUUGUUUGUUGGCGGAACCCCAACCCAUGGCGCCGCUCGUCAUCAGGCCUCCUAGACUCUGUCCGGAGGAGUGCAGGUUCGCCGGGGCCCUCUGGUGCUGCACGCCCGCCGUGCCGCUCAUCCCAAACGACUUCCCCGGAGCGUUGGGACCCAGGAACCUGGGCUUACUUUGGUUCAGGCGGUUGUGGACGUUUUGCUGAAACUGGUUGAUGCAGGAGGUGGGCGGACAGUCAGCCGCCAUCGCUCCGCCCAUCUUGGCGGUGGAGACGUUUCGGAGGUGACAGGACAGCGACUGUAGUGAGUUCUCGGGACCGCCGCCGGGAGACUGGGAGGAGCUUUGACCUGUGGAGACAGAAUCUAUCAGGACCGUAGAAAACAAACCGGAACACUGAGCUGAACGCAGUAACGAACCCGUGAAGAUGCUGCCUUGCUGAACUCCCACAAUGCCUCUGGACUGCUUGUAAUCCGGCGGCGGUCUCGUCAGAUGGCGGCUGAACUGAUCGCAGGCGUUGUCUUUAUCCUAGAGAAGAAAAUCAAGUCAUCACUGAGGUGAACAUGACUCGAAGGUGCUCUUUAACUCGACUUACUGCAGUGCUGACGGGAUGCUGCAGCUGCUGCCUCGGAACCGUCUGGGUUUUGGCCGGGCCUUUCUGCUGGUUGUUGGGCGCCGAGUGUCGCAGCUGGGAUUGGGCUGACAAGACUCCCAAGGUUCCGUUAGGACCAGAAGGAACUCCCUUUGGAUGGAAAACAGUCGGAUGUUUAUGGACAUGCUAAGAGGCCUACAAUACUAAUUUAUUAAUUCAUUAAGUGAAAUAACGGCGUUUAAGGUGUCCUUUAGCACAAAUGAAUGGACUUUGCAGAAGUGAAUGUCUAAUAUGAUCAGGCCUCCGUCAUCCAUUCAUUUCUGAUAGACACUUUGUUGUAAACAUGCCAGAAAAGUUAUGGAUUAAAAAUGAAAUUAAA
Molecule: long non-coding RNA, 1811 nt
Organism: Oryzias melastigma (Indian medaka)
Lineage: Eukaryota; Metazoa; Chordata; Actinopteri; Beloniformes; Adrianichthyidae
Exons: 3
Source: RefSeq, a predicted model, not a curated record